UGACAUUUGCAAGUGAAUCUGAGUGAUCAA
RNAcentral lists this non-coding RNA (30 nucleotides) under Rattus norvegicus (Norway rat). The record is from RNAcentral. Lineage: Eukaryota; Metazoa; Chordata; Mammalia; Rodentia; Muridae.